Molecule: unclassified non-coding RNA, 923 nt
Filed under: Leishmania donovani
Lineage: Eukaryota; Euglenozoa; Kinetoplastea; Trypanosomatida; Trypanosomatidae
Description: gene:LdHU3.09.0480(CDS-product:hypothetical_prote in_conserved)
Source: RNAcentral
CCUUUCCCUCCUCUUUCUUUCUUUUCAGGAUUCUUAAGUGUUGAGGGCCGACGUGCCAGCGAAGGACAGUAGUGAAACCCAUUGCAUCAGCAUGGUGCGCGUUGGCGCGAAGCGCGAGCGUCCUUGUAUUCUCGUGCUCCAUGUCGCCUUGCGGGCCGCGCAGCAGCCCGCAAGGGAAGGGCCGCAGCGCGGGCGUGAGGGGGGGACUAGCCUCUCGACCUCUCCGCGAGAGCGGUUCAUCUGGAAGACUUCGGCCACCGCGGAGGUAUACGCGAAGGCGGUGUUGCGCAGCAUACGUGCGUACUGGCAACUGCUUGGUGGGGUGCGCUACGCCGGCUCCGAUGCCUUGACUCUGAUCAGUGCCGUGUGGCAGGACAUCGACGAUGCCGCGCUUGGGGCAACGGCGGCAGCCCAAGCGGGAGGGAUCGUUGAGGGUGAUUCACCGUCGGCCUCCCCUCUGGCAAGUACCAUUACAACCGGGGUCAAGCGAUCAAAACAGCAGCAGCAGCGGCGACGGCAGCGCAUGAGGGCGACCCGGCGGCGCAGCGGCGUGCUGAGGUGCGCCGUGCAUCUCUCUCGCUCCGUCUACGGGGACGCUGGCGCGGCACACGUGCUGCGAGCCUCGUGUGCGUGUGUUACAGAGGCUACGGUGGAGGUGCCGGUGUCGCAACUGGUCGCUGAUGACGGUUCCGCGACGGUGGCAGCCGACGCUUCCAAUGACGACAGGCGAAAGAGGCGUCGCAGACGCACAGAGGAGGAUGUUGAGGAUGUGAUGCCGCAGACUUGCCACGCCGCCGUGCAUGUCACGCGUGUGGAGAACGUGUUGCCGUCGCGCCAGCGACGCUGAGAAGGGGGUACGACCGCUAGUGCAGCCGCUACUCCAAAUCCAGGCAAGCGCGGCGUGCCUUUGUUAGCAUUAUAAG